GGAAUUUUCCGCAAUGGGCGAAAGCCUGACGGAGCAACGCCGCGUGAGGGAUGAAGGCCUCUGGGCUGUAAACCUCUUUUAUCAAGGAAGAAGAUCUGACGGUACUUGAUGAAUAAGCCACGGCUAAUUCCGUGCCAGCAGCCGCGGUAAUACGGGAGUGGCAAGCGUUAUCCGGAAUUAUUGGGCGUAAAGCGUCCGCAGGCGGUCUUUUAAGUCUGUCGUCAAAGCGUGAAGCUUAACUCCAUUUCUGCGAUGGAAACUGGGAGACUAGAGUGUGGUAGGGGCAGAGGGAAUUCCCGGUGUAGCGGUGAAAUGCGUAGAUAUCGGGAAGAACACCAGUGGCGAAGGCGCUCUGCUGGGCCAUAACUGACGCUCAUGGACGAAAGCCAGGGGAGCGAAAGGGAUUAGAUACCCCUGUAGUCCUGGCCGUAAACGAUGAACACUAGGUGUCGGGGGAAUCGACCCCCUCGGUGUCGUAGCCAACGCGUUAAGUGUUCCGCCUGGGGAGUACGCACGCAAGUGUGAAACUCAAAGGAAUUGACGG
This 544-nucleotide ribosomal RNA is filed under the name uncultured bacterium. Its description in RNAcentral is "bacterial SSU rRNA". It matches the Rfam family "Bacterial small subunit ribosomal RNA", at positions 358 to 916 of the family's 1533-position model. The record is from RNAcentral.